GCCAGUGUGGUGUAGUGAUUUCAGCAUUGGACUACAACUCUGAGGAUCAAGGUUCAAGUCCUUGCUUGGCCA
Phrynosoma platyrhinos (Desert horned lizard) is the source of this 72-nucleotide non-coding RNA. NCBI's taxonomy places the organism in Eukaryota, Metazoa, Chordata, Lepidosauria, Squamata, Phrynosomatidae. The record is from the annotation of a GenBank genome assembly.